Molecule: ribosomal RNA, 497 nt
Filed under: uncultured bacterium
Lineage: Bacteria
Description: partial 16S ribosomal RNA
Rfam family: Bacterial small subunit ribosomal RNA
Source: RNAcentral
GAUGAACGCUGGCGGCGUGCCUAAUACAUGCAAGUCGAGCGAACGGACGAGAAGCUUGCUUCUCUGAUGUUAGCGGCGGACGGGUGAGCAACACGUGGAUAACCUACCUAUAAGACUGGGAUAACUUCGGGAAACCGGAGCUAAUACCGGAUAAUAUUUUGAACCGCAUGGUUCAAAAGUGAAAGACGGUCUUGCUGUCACUUAUAGAUGGAUCCGCGCUGCAUUAGCUAGUUGGUAAGGUAACGGCUUACCAAGGCAACGAUGCAUAGCCGACCUGAGAGGGUGAUCGGCCACACUGGAACUGAGACACGGUCCAGACUCCUACGGGAGGCAGCAGUAGGGAAUCUUCCGCAAUGGGCGAAAGCCUGACGGAGCAACGCCGCGUGAGUGAUGAAGGUCUUCGGAUCGUAAAACUCUGUUAUUAGGGAAAAACAUAUGUGUAAGUAACUGUGCACAUCUUGACGGUACCUAAUCAGAAAGCCACGGCUAACUACGUG